GAUGAAGAACGCAGUGAAAUGCGAUAAGUAAUGUGAAUUGCAGAUUUCAGUGAAUCAUCGAAUCUUUGAACGCACAUUGCGCCCCCUGGUAUUCCGGGGGGCAUGCCUGUUCGAGCGUCAUUUCACCACUCAAGCCUCGCUUGGUAUUGGGCAACGCGGUCCGCCGCGUGCCCCAAAUCGACCGGCUGGGUCUUCUGUCCCCUAAGCGUUGUGGAAACUAUUCGCUAAAGGGUGUUCGGGAGGCUACGCCGUAAAACAACCCCAUUUCUAAGGUUGACCUCGGAUCAGGUAGGGAUACCCGCUGAACUUAAGCAUAUCAAUAAGCGGAGGA
This 331-nucleotide unclassified non-coding RNA is filed under the name soil metagenome. RNAcentral's name for it is "partial contains 5.8S ribosomal RNA, internal transcribed spacer 2, and large subunit ribosomal RNA". The stretch from base 1 to 120 matches the Rfam family "5.8S ribosomal RNA", at positions 35 to 154 of the family's 154-position model. The record is from RNAcentral.